GGAUGAAGAACGCAGCGAAAUGCGAUAAGUAAUGUGAAUUGCAGAAUUCAGUGAAUCAUCGAAUCUUUGAACGCACAUUGCGCCCGCCAGUAUUCUGGCGGGCAUGCCUGUUCGAGCGUCAUUUCAACCCUCAGGCCCCGCCUGGCGUUGGGGAUCGGCGCGGCCCUCUCCGGGCUGCCGGCCCCGAAAACUAGUGGCGGUCUCGCUGUAGUCCUCCUCUGCGCAGUAGCAACGCUCGCACUGGAACUCGGCGCGGCCACGCCGUAAAACACCCCACUUCUGAAAGUUGACCUCGGAUCAGGUAGGAAUACCCGCUGAACUUAAGCAUAUCAAUAAGCGGAGGA
RNAcentral lists this unclassified non-coding RNA (344 nucleotides) under soil metagenome. Its description in RNAcentral is "partial contains 5.8S ribosomal RNA, internal transcribed spacer 2, and large subunit ribosomal RNA". The stretch from base 2 to 121 matches the Rfam family "5.8S ribosomal RNA", at positions 35 to 154 of the family's 154-position model. The record is from RNAcentral.